GAUGAACGCUGGCGGCGUGCCUAAUACAUGCAAGUCGAGCGAACAGAUGAGGAGCUUGCUCCUCUGACGUUAGCGGCGGACGGGUGAGUAACACGUGGAUAACCUACCUAUAAGACUGGGAUAACUUCGGGAAACCGGAGCUAAUACCGGAUAAUAUAUUGAACCGCAUGGUUCAAUAGUGAAAGACGGUUUUGCUGUCACUUAUAGAUGGAUCCGCGCCGCAUUAGCUAGUUGGUAAGGUAACGGCUUACCAAGGCAACGAUGCGUAGCCGACCUGAGAGGGUGUCCGCCACACCUGGAAGGGAAACCCGGCCAAGCCCCCUAGGGGGGGCAGAGGUAGGAAUUCUCCCGAGUGGGGCGAACGCCGGCCGGACCACCGCCGGUGGGGUGAUAAGGUUUUUCGAAUCAAAAAACUCUUUUAUUAGAAAAAAAAAAAUGUGAAAAUACCUAUGCACGUCUGGGGGGUCCCUAACAAGAAGCCCAGGGCAAACUCCGCC
RNAcentral lists this ribosomal RNA (497 nucleotides) under uncultured bacterium. RNAcentral's name for it is "partial 16S ribosomal RNA". It matches the Rfam family "Bacterial small subunit ribosomal RNA", at positions 28 to 507 of the family's 1533-position model. The record is from RNAcentral.